GUGUGUGAAAGACCAGCAUUGGUUCUCACUCUUAUUUAAGGAGAACAUUCGACAAGUAAGCUAGCCAAUUCCAAGUCGUCAGCAUGAGUUCCAAUACAGUUUGUGUUCUACUGGUAACCUUUACCGUGUUAGUAAUAAUGUUUUCGUCUUACGCUUCGUGUCAAGAUGAUUAUAUUUGCUUGUACUCUCCUCUCACCUGCACUCGAGGGAUAAAAAAUACAGACUUCAAACGAGGGAUUCUGACUCGAGGAAAGCCUAAGUAUGUUUCUGAAAGAAAAAGAAGUAGUUUUGGCAAAAGACCGUAUAAGCUCCCGUAUAAGACAAUUAGAUGAUUCCUGUAGCACACUACUCACUUAUAUCCGAAUACGGUAUUGUAACUUGGUUUUAUCAUGAGGUCAAACGGAGAUGAAUCAAUGUUUAUCGAAGUAACAAUAUUUGUAUUAUGAUCAUGAGAUGAAAUUAAUUAUGAGAUGAAUCAGUCGAUAAAGUUCCAGUUACCAUGUAAAAUUGUUCAGGUCAAAGCCUCAGCAAAAAAAUAAAACAAUGAACUUCAAA
Actinia tenebrosa (Australian red waratah sea anemone) is the source of this 555-nucleotide long non-coding RNA. RefSeq lists it as uncharacterized. The record is from RefSeq and is a predicted model, not a curated record. NCBI's taxonomy places the organism in Eukaryota, Metazoa, Cnidaria, Anthozoa, Actiniaria, Actiniidae.